This 354-nucleotide long non-coding RNA is filed under the name Capsella rubella. Its description in RNAcentral is "long non-coding RNA (CRUB_LNC000074)". Lineage: Eukaryota; Viridiplantae; Streptophyta; Magnoliopsida; Brassicales; Brassicaceae. The record is from RNAcentral.
UUUUAUGAUCCCCGACUUUGCGUAUUAGCUCUAAGUUCUUUCGGUCGUUUUUAUGAUCCCUGACUUUACAUAUGACCUCAAAGUUCUUUCGGUCGUUUUUAUGAUCACCGACUUUUCGUAUUAGCUCUAAGUUCUUUCGGUCCGUUUUUAUGAUCCCCGAUUUUGCGUAUUAGCUCUAAAUUCUUUCAGUCUGUUUUUAUGAUCCCCGACUUUGCGUAUUAGCUCUAAGUUCUAUCUGUCGUUUUUAAGAUCCCCGACUUUGUGUAUUAGCUCUAAGUUCUUUCGGUCUGUUUUUAUGAUCCCCGACUUUGCGUAUCAGCUCUAAGUUCUUUCGGUCCGUUUUUAUGAUCCCCG